UACGAAGGGGACUAGCGUUGUUCGGAAUCACUGGGCGUAAAGCGCACGUAGGCGGAUUUGUAAGUCAGGGGUGAAAGCCCGGGGCUCAACCCCGGGAGGCGGGCGGAUACUGUCGGGCUAGAGUCCGGAAGAGGCGAGUGGAAUUCCUGGUGUAGCGGUGAAAUGCGCAGAUAUCAGGAGGAACACCAAUGGCGAAGGCAGCUCGCUGGGACGGUACUGACGCUGAGACGCGAAAGCGUGGGGAGCAAACAGG
This 253-nucleotide ribosomal RNA is filed under the name uncultured bacterium. Its description in RNAcentral is "partial 16S ribosomal RNA". It matches the Rfam family "Bacterial small subunit ribosomal RNA", at positions 524 to 776 of the family's 1533-position model. The record is from RNAcentral.